UAGGGAAUUUUCGUCAAUGGGCGCAAGCCUGAACGAGCAAUGUCGCGUGAACGAGGAAGGUCUUCGGAUCGUAAAGUUCUGUUGAAGGGGAAAAAGAGCGGAGAGAGGAAAUGGUCUCCGAUUGAUAUUACCCUUCGAGGAAGUCACGGCUAACUACGUGCC
RNAcentral lists this ribosomal RNA (162 nucleotides) under uncultured bacterium. RNAcentral's name for it is "partial 16S ribosomal RNA". It matches the Rfam family "Bacterial small subunit ribosomal RNA", at positions 355 to 509 of the family's 1533-position model. The record is from RNAcentral.